This is a long non-coding RNA of Acanthochromis polyacanthus (spiny chromis), 2772 nucleotides long. RefSeq lists it as uncharacterized. NCBI's taxonomy places the organism in Eukaryota, Metazoa, Chordata, Actinopteri, Pomacentridae. The transcript has 6 exons. The record is from RefSeq and is a predicted model, not a curated record.
UUUCGAAAUGAGAUUUGCUUUCAGCGUCCUGAGAUUUGGAUACAGACCACAACAAACAGCGAUCGCCAAGUAAUGUGGAGGUUUUCGUUCACUUCUCAUCUCUACUGUGUUGUGGGGCACUCAUUGAGACUAUCCGAGCCGGUCAGUGUGGGGAAAAAGCACGUUAGGGCGAACUUUGACGCGGGGGGGGGGGGCAAGUUGCCCCAUCCUUUUCGCUAGCUGAGCUGCUAGCUGAGCUGCUAAGCCAUAGACAUAUAUACGUAGACGUCUCAUUGACUGCGGCCGCCCACUCCAGCGGCGUGCCUGCAGCACCUCUAUCUUGGAUCGGGGCUACUCGCUCCUACAAUGCAUUACUUCCAUAGAGGAAUGAUGUGCUUAUACAAUUAAAGUUGUCAAAAAUCGCUCAAUUCUCAAGCAAUUUUGACGGAGUUUGCUUGUAGCAAACGCCAGACACGCUAGAUAGACAGACAGAUAUAAAUAAAAAACAAACAAAAAAAACAGAAAAUGUUCAGAUGUGCUCAGGUUUUUAUUAACUUUACAUUUACAGCUUUACAUUGCAUUGGAGUACAAUUAUUAUUUUUGUAUUACUGUACUACUACUGUAUUACUGUUAUUGCUAUUCAUUUAAUUACGUAUCAUUAUAUUCCUAUAAUAUUCUAUGAUUAUUGUUUAUUAUUUUUUAUAUUACAGUUACUGGUAUUAUUAUUAUUAUUAAUAUUAUUAUUACUACUACUAUUAUAAUUACUCUUACUAUUAUUACUGCUAUUAUUACUCUUAUUUUUUAUCGUUAUUAUUCUUAUUACUGUUAUUAUUACUACUAUUACUAUUAUAUCUAUAAGUAUUAUUAUUACUAUUAUUACUGCUAUUAUUACUCUUAUUUUUUAUCGUUAUUAUUAUUAUUACUACUACUAUUACUAUUAUAUCACGUGUAUAAAUCACGUUCUUUGGGAAAGCUUAAACAUGUGAGAAAAGUAGCCAGAGAUAAAGAAUUGUCUACAACAAAAAUAAUUCCAUCAUAAAUCAGGGCUAUUAUUAGAUCUAUCAGAUGCUGUAUUCUAACCCACCAAUUACUGCAGUAAGUCUGUUUUUUUUUCUUUGUAACAGGCUGUUGCUAGGAACGCUAGAUUCAUAACAUCGAAUUUUAAACAAAAAAUUGUCUCAGAUCAGUUAUUUCACCGGUAAGCAGCUGUGUAAUACACAGGAUGAUGUAGAGAGCUGUUAGAUCAUGGGUAGAAGCCAGACACGGAGCUGAUGGGGUUCUAUCCGUCUUCUUGGCGUUUAUUUCACUCUCGCUGUGACAACCUGCUAACAUUAUUCCUUACAUACAUCUUACAUGUAAAAAGUAAUCCCACGAGCUCUUGUUUCCUUACAGCGCUCAUUAGAGCAUCCAUAGGCUGAACAGAAGUCCGGCAUCUUUAAAUAACUAUGCUGGAGUCAGAGGGAGAUAGUGUGUAGCUUAAGUGUUGAGUGGCAAAAACAGCAUUGUAAAAAAAAUCUGAGCAGCUUAUAUAGUAGCUAAACCUGUGACGUUUCUAAAAAAUCAAACAGUUUGGCAAUCGGUUCAAAAUUCAGCGAAUAAUUCCACUUUGAGAUUCAGCAGUACCUCUUGCCUCGUAGAUGUCUAUGCACCGCUGCCUCCGCUGGUCCUGUUCCAAGAUGGCGGCGCUGUAAGCACGUCUCUCGACAGCCUAUGAGGUGUCUACGUAUAUAUGUGCUAAGCUGCCUGCCUGUCUAAAUACUGGAGCUAUGUCGAAAAUUCAUUUCUCCAUCGCUCACAUGUAUGAAAUGACAUGAAAACAGACCCCAGGUUGAAAAAAACGAAGUUCCCCUUUAAGGCGAAGUGCAUCUGAAGUGAUUUUUUAUUUUUUAUUUUUUAUGUUAGUAUUUUUUGAAUGUCAGUGCUGGCCAAUCAUGUUCUACUGUAACGUCAUGUUAUACUGUAACAUGAUUGGCCAGCGCUAUCGUCAUGGCAUAGUUCUGACCAACCGGGUUGAGCCCUCAUAGAAGACGGGAGCUGGUGGUCUUUCAUUUCCAUUGCGAGGAAAAGCUUGGUUUGAAAAUGUAUGCAUAUGUGCGAUACAUUGCUGACAAUGUCCGCAAGACUGUGUCCACAAAAGAAUUCCAAAAUUUCCAUCCCCGAAAUCUGGAUGACUUCAAUGCCAAGAAGCGGUAUAAAAUCCUCUGGAGAAGGACCUCAGAGGAAAGCAGCUCUUAUUAUUAUGGGCAAAUUUUACAAUUGGCAGGGAUCCUGAAACAGUCUCUCCCCCAGUCUGGAGAAACAGGUCUGGAAGGAGCUGAUGUGAUCACCCCAGAGCUGGACGAAGAAGGAAAAUUUUAUAGAUCAAACUUGGCCCAGGAGUUUCCCUGAACAAGGAGAAAUGGCAGAGGGUGCAGGAGGCCAAAUCAAACUCCCAAUUCUGCAAGUCGUUGGCAGUUUGCAUUUGGGGCACAGAGGGACUGAGGGAGAGAAGCAUCACAGGGGCCAAAUGAAACGUGGUCAAAGACUCUGUCCCCAAGCGUCCCCUGACCCCAGAAAAAGUGGCUGUCAUAAGAGACUGCCUGAGGGACCGGCUUCAGAAGAUGGGCGAUCCAAAGGAGGCCAUUGAACAGCAGCUGGCCCUAGUUAGACGAGCCAUAUCAGAAAAGAUUAGUGAUAUUAGGAAGAGGAGCCCUCAGACAGAGGGAAAGCAGUAAACUGCUGCUGUCGACGCCACAUACUUCUUUGCCAAAGUUGUUGGUUGGUUUAAAAAUAAAUAAAAAUGACAAACUGCAA